UUUUUCUCUAAUAAACAUUGGCCACAAUUAAUGGCACCCUUUUAAUCAAUACUUUUUGAAACCUCCAUUUGCCAGUUUAACAGGUCUAAAUUUUCUCCUAUAAUGCCUGAGAACACCUCACAAGAGAUCAGAGACCAUUCCUUCAUCCAGAAUCCCUCCAGACCCUUUAGAUUCCCAGCUCCACGUUGGUGUUUCUCCUCUUCAGUUCACUCCUCUCAUUUUCUAUAGGGUUCAGGUCAGAGGACUGGAAUGGCUAUAACAGAAGCUUGGUUUUGAGCUCAGUGACCCAUUUCUGUGUUGUUUUUGAGGUUUGUGUUUGGGUUAUUGUACGUCACUUACUGAUUUUUUAUCUGUUGGUAUUUGAUAGAAUCCAUGAUGCCAUGUGUCUAAACAAGAUGUCCAGGACCCCCAGCAGAAAUAUAGGCCCA
Molecule: long non-coding RNA, 428 nt
Organism: Carassius carassius (crucian carp)
Lineage: Eukaryota; Metazoa; Chordata; Actinopteri; Cypriniformes; Cyprinidae
Exons: 2
Source: RefSeq, a predicted model, not a curated record